GGUCGUGUGAUGUAGUGGUCGAAGCAUUCCAGAUUUUGAAUCAUAUUAGCACUGUCAACAUAUGACUUUGAAAGAUUCUGGCUACCUGGGUUCGAAUCCCAGCAUGACCA
Molecule: transfer RNA, 110 nt
Filed under: Ustilago trichophora
Lineage: Eukaryota; Fungi; Basidiomycota; Ustilaginomycetes; Ustilaginales; Ustilaginaceae
Rfam family: tRNA
About the family: Transfer RNA (tRNA) molecules are approximately 80 nucleotides in length. Their secondary structure includes four short double-helical elements and three loops (D, anti-codon, and T loops).
Source: Rfam by way of RNAcentral